This 459-nucleotide ribosomal RNA is filed under the name uncultured bacterium. RNAcentral describes it as "partial 16S ribosomal RNA". It matches the Rfam family "Bacterial small subunit ribosomal RNA", at positions 338 to 795 of the family's 1533-position model. The record is from RNAcentral.
CCUACGGGCGGCAGCAGUGAGGAAUAUUGGACAAUGGGCGGGAGCCUGAACCAGCCAAGCCGCGUGAGGGAAGAAGGUACAGCGUAUCGUAAACCUCUUUUGUCAGGGAACAAAGGCGGGGACUAGUCCCCGGAUGAGGGUACCUGAAGAAAAAGCAUCGGCUAACUCCGUGCCAGCAGCCGCGGUAAUACGGGGGAUGCGAGCGUUAUCCGGAUUUAUUGGGUUUAAAGGGUGCGCAGGCGGCCAGUUAAGUUAGCGGUAAAAGCCCGGGGCUAAACCCCGGCGAGCCGUUGAAACUGGCGGGCUGGAGUUGGGGAGAAGUACGCGGAAUGCGAGGUGUAGCGGUGAAAUGCUUAGAGAUCGCGCAGAACCCCGGUUGCGAAGGCAGCGUCCCGGCUACACACUGACGCUGAGGCACGAAAGCGUGGGUAUCGAACAGGAUUAGAUACCCGGGUAGUC